GCUGCGGUAGUUAAAAAUAUAACAAAACCCUGAAGAAGUUUCGUUGAAGUGUUGAGAGACCUUCCCAUAGCA
This 72-nucleotide transfer RNA is filed under the name Amphiura sp. JN-2020. RNAcentral's name for it is "tRNA-Phe". Lineage: Eukaryota; Metazoa; Echinodermata; Ophiuroidea; Amphilepidida; Amphiuridae. The record is from RNAcentral.